AAAAAGUACAAUGUGUAAUUAAGGAUUUUCCGAAACUCUUUCAACUGGUGGAAUGCAACUGGUCAGUGCUUGUACCAAAACCCUUUUGGACUCGAGAGGGAAAGCCGCGGCAAUGGAGAAAUUCUCGAUCUCAAUACUCCUAAUAAUCUCACUCCUCCCCUUUCUCUGCUCCUCCUUCUCACAAGAAUCCCCAACCGAUCGCCGGAUUUUAGUCUUGCUCGAUGAUUUCUCUCUGAAAUCCUCCCACUCCAUUUUCUUCAGCUCACUCAAGUCUCGUGGGUUCGACCUCGAUUUCAAGCUUGCCGACGAUCCCAAGCUCGCGCUUCAGAGAUAUGGCCAGUACUUGUAUGAUGGCUUGGUUCUCUUCUCUCCUUCUGUUGAGAGAUUUGGAGUUGCAUUGGAUUUAGCGGCUGGGCUUGACUUCGUUGACUCGGGCCAUGACU
This 443-nucleotide unclassified non-coding RNA is filed under the name Hevea brasiliensis (rubber tree). The record is from RNAcentral. Lineage: Eukaryota; Viridiplantae; Streptophyta; Magnoliopsida; Malpighiales; Euphorbiaceae.